GGUCGGUAUUACGAAGCAUUCCUAAGACUUGUCAUAAGACAUAUCUUAGGACAUGUAUUAUGAUCCUCUUAUGACUAUCUAUGGACAUAUCUUUAUUUGAUGAAUUAUAAUUGUGAGUGUCCACUUUGAAGGCAAUAGCAAAAUACUUUCUUUCUAGUUGACACUAAAAGACAUAAGAGGAUAGCCAGGAUAGAUGUGUCUACAAAUAAAAUUG
Molecule: long non-coding RNA, 214 nt
Filed under: Mytilus galloprovincialis (Mediterranean mussel)
Lineage: Eukaryota; Metazoa; Mollusca; Bivalvia; Mytilida; Mytilidae
Source: RNAcentral